GAUGAAGAACGUAGCGAAAUGCGAUACGUAAUGUGAAUUGCAGAUUUCAGUAAAUCAUCGAAUCUUUGAACGCACAUUGCGCCCGCUAGUAUUCUGGCGGGCAUGCCUGUUCGAGCGUCAUUUCAACCAUCAAGCCCUAGGCUUGCGUUGGAGCCCUGCGGCUGCCGCAGGCUCCCAAAUCCAGUGGCGGGCUCGUCGUCGUACCGAGUGCAGUAAACAUCCUCGCUCAGGGAACGUGACGGGUUCUUGCCGUGAAACCCCCCACAUAUCAAGGUUGACCUCGGAUCAGGUAGGAAUACCCGCUGAACUUAAGCAUAUCAAUAAGCGGAGGA
Molecule: unclassified non-coding RNA, 332 nt
Filed under: soil metagenome
Description: partial contains 5.8S ribosomal RNA, internal transcribed spacer 2, and large subunit ribosomal RNA
Rfam family: 5.8S ribosomal RNA (bases 1-120)
Source: RNAcentral